This 424-nucleotide ribosomal RNA is filed under the name uncultured bacterium. RNAcentral describes it as "partial 16S ribosomal RNA". It matches the Rfam family "Bacterial small subunit ribosomal RNA", at positions 359 to 775 of the family's 1533-position model. The record is from RNAcentral.
GAAUAUUGGACAAUGGGCGAAAGCCUGAUCCAGCCAUGCCGCGUGUGUGAAGAAGGUCUUCGGAUUGUAAAGCACUUUAAGUUGGGAGGAAGGGCAGUAAGCGAAUACCUUGCGGUUUUGACGUUACAGACAGAAUAAGCACCGGCUAACCAAGUGCCAGCAGCCGCGGUAAUACAGAGGGUGCAGGCGUUAAUCGGAAUUACGUGGCGUAAAGCGCGCGUAGUGGGUUGGUUAAGUUGGUUAUGAAAGCCCCGGGCUCAACUUGGGAACUGCAUCCAAAACUGGCGAGCUAGAGUACGGUAGAGGGUGGUGGAAUUUCCUGUGUAGCGGUGAAAUGCGUAGAUAUAGGAAGGAACACCAGUGGCGAAGGCGACCACCUGGACUGAUACUGACACUGAGGUGCGAAAGCGUGGGGAGCAAACAG